GAUGAACGCUAGCGGUGUGGAUAAGGCAUGCAAGUCAAGGGGGUCCUGCAUUUUGUAGGACAACCGGCGAACGGGUUAGUAACACGUAGAUACAUACCGCCUACACAGGCAUAACUUCGCGAAAGCGGAGCUAAUUCCUGAAGUUCCGCCUUAGGCGGAUAAAGGUUUCGAGCAAUCGAUUCCAGUAGGUGAAUGGUCUGCGGCUUAUCAGCUUGUUGGUGGGGUAAUGGCCUACCAAGGCAAUGACGGGUAGGGGACAUGAGAGUGUGAUCCCCAACAAUGGGACUGCGACACGGCCCAUACUCCUACGGGAGGCAGCAGUCGAGAAUAUUUCGCAAUGGGCGAAAGCCUGACGAAGCGACACCGCGUGUUUGAAUAAGCCCUUCGGGGUGUAAAGAACUUUUCUCCAUGAACAAGCUUCGGCUGAGUGUAGUGGAGGAAUAAGAGGAGGCUAAUCACGUGCCAGAAGCCUCGGUAAUACGUGAUCCUCAAGUGUUAUCCGGAUUUAUUGGGCGUAAAGCGUCCGUAGGCGGUUAAAUAAGUCUUUGGUUAAAGCCCCAUGGCUCAACUAUGGGAAUGCCAGAGAUACUGUUUGACUAGAGGGUGUUAGGGGCUGAUGGAACGGUCGGUGUAGGGGUGGAAUCCGUUGAUAUCGACCGGAACACCAAAAGCGAAGGCAUUCAGCUAAGACAACCCUGACGCUGAGGGACGAAAGCGUGGGUAGCGAAAGAGAUUAGAUACCUCUGUAGUCCACGCCGUAAACGAUGAACACUGGCUAUUUGAAGUGUCGACCCUUCAAGUGGCGAAGCUAACGCGUUAAGUGUUCCGCCUGGGAAGACGGUCGCAAGACU
Molecule: ribosomal RNA, 851 nt
Filed under: uncultured bacterium
Lineage: Bacteria
Description: bacterial SSU rRNA
Rfam family: Bacterial small subunit ribosomal RNA
Source: RNAcentral